This is a long non-coding RNA of Vombatus ursinus (common wombat), 439 nucleotides long. RefSeq lists it as uncharacterized. Lineage: Eukaryota; Metazoa; Chordata; Mammalia; Diprotodontia; Vombatidae. The record is from RefSeq and is a predicted model, not a curated record. The transcript has 4 exons.
CGGCAGUCACCUGUCGCGCAGUUCCUCGGCCCACAUCCGGGCCUCAGCACAGGCCGCCUCCUUCUACUUGGGGUCUGGACCCUUGGAGACUGAGCCUAGAAGCAAGGGAUAAAAGCCUGUAGGUGGCCUCGUGAAUUUUGAAAGUUCUGGACCUCUGCAGUUUCAGCAGCAGCAGCAGGAUUGGCCGAGUGGCAAUUGAAGAGACAGCUUUAGAGAGAGAGGCCACUAGAAGGAAAAUCAAGCUUGGCUUCCUGAUCAGACGGCACCAAAAGGAGGGAUCAAUACCUUCAGCUAAAGAAAGAAAACUCGAAAGCUCUCAUUUCAGCGAACAGUCAGAGCUGGGUGAGAAUUUGAAGAGGCUGGGGAAUGGAGGUGAAAACAACUUCCUUAAAAUCACUUGCACACUCAGGUUUUCCACUUUGCCUAGGGGCAAAAAAGG